Molecule: ribosomal RNA, 305 nt
Filed under: uncultured bacterium
Lineage: Bacteria
Description: bacterial SSU rRNA
Rfam family: Bacterial small subunit ribosomal RNA
Source: RNAcentral
GGCCUACGGGAGGCAGCAGUGAGGAAUAUUGGUCAAUGGGAGAGAUCCUGAACCAGCCAAGCCGCGUGAGGGAAGAAGGAAUUCGUUCUGUAAACUUCUGUUAUAAAGGAAGAAAGACGGAUGGAGGAAAUGACAUCCGAGUGACGGUACUUUAUGAGAAAGCCACGGCUAACUACGUGCCAGCAGCCGCGGUAAUACGUAGGUGGCAAGCGUUAUCCGGAAUUAUUGGGCGUAAAGAGGGAGCAGGCGGUAGCAAAGGUCUGUGGUGAAAGACUGAAGCUUAACUUCAGUAAGCCAUAGAAACC